This 1018-nucleotide ribosomal RNA is filed under the name Mucor hiemalis f. hiemalis. Its description in RNAcentral is "LSU rRNA". It matches the Rfam family "Eukaryotic large subunit ribosomal RNA", at positions 38 to 964 of the family's 3401-position model. The record is from RNAcentral. Lineage: Eukaryota; Fungi; Mucoromycota; Mucoromycetes; Mucorales; Mucoraceae.
GCAUAUCAAUAAGCGGAGGAAAAGAAAAUACAAUGAUUUCCCUAGUAACGGCGAGUGAAGAGGAAAGAGCUCAAAGUUGGAACCUGUUUGGCUUAGCUAAACCGGAUUGUAAACUGUAGAAGUGUUUUCCAGACACGCCUGGUAAAAAAGUCCUUUGGAACAGGGCAUCAUAGAGGGUGAGAAUCCCGUCAUUGGCCAGAGCUGUUGUCUUUUGUGAUACAUUUUCAAAGAGUCAGGUUGUUUGGGAAUGCAGCCUAAAUUGGGUGGUAAAUCUCACCUAAAGCUAAAUAUUUGCGAGAGACCGAUAGCGAACAAGUACCGUGAGGGAAAGAUGAAAAGAACUUUGAAAAGAGAGUUAAACAGUAUGUGAAAUUGUUAAAAGGGAACCGUUUGGAGCCAGACUGGCUUAACUGUAAUCAAUCUAGGCUUUGGCCUGGAUGCACUUGCGGUUUAUGCCGGCCAACGACAGUUUUGUUUGAGGGAAAAAAUUACAUUGAAUGUGGCCCUUCGGGGUGUUAUAGCUUUGUAAAAAAUACCUUGGACUGGACUGAGGAACGCAGUGAAUGCCUUUAGGCAAGAUUGCUGGGUGCUUUCGCUAAUAAAUGCUAGAAUUUCUGCUUCGGGUGGUGCUAGUGUUUAAAGGAGGAACUCGCUUAGUAUAUUUUUUAUUCGCUUAGGUUGUUGGCUUAAUGACUCUAAAUGACCCGUCUUGAAACACGGACCAAGGAGUCCACCAUAAGUGCGAGUAUUUGGGUGACAAACCCAUAUGCGCAAGGAAACUGAUUGAUACGAAGGCUUUAAGCUGGCAGUAUCACCCGGCGUUGACGUUUUAUACUGAACUGACCGAGGUAAAGCACUUAUGAUGGGACCCGAAAGAUGGUGAACUAUGCCUGAAUAGGGUGAAGCCGGAGGAAACUCCGGUGGAGGCUCGUAGCGAUUCUGACGUGCAAAUCGAUCGUCAAAUUUGGGUAUAGGGGCGAAAGACUAAUCGAACCAUCUAGUAGCUGGUUCCUGCCGA